AAAAAGGCUAGGAAGAGAAGAGUAGUCUUUCUAACACUUACAGAGAGCCUUCGGUUGGUGGAAGAAGGUAGUGAAAGAAUGGUGAAACAAGACUCGGAGCUGCAUACGGAUAUAAAAUUAGGAAUACCAAGUAUUAAUGGUUACCAGAGAAUUAAUGAAUACCACUGGAGAAAUAAUGGUAACCUGAAUAUUAAUGGCUACUAGAGAAUUAAUGAUUACCAGAAUAUUAAUGGUUGUUGCCUUAUUUUAUUGAUGCUAUGACGGUUGUCUCCGUUACAGGACUAGAGUAUCUAAGUGUACUUGAUAAGGUUGAUAUGGUGACGUAUCAAUGAAAUAGGGUGGUACCGCGAAUUCAUUCGCCCCUUGC
This 367-nucleotide non-coding RNA is filed under the name Lachnoclostridium phytofermentans. RNAcentral describes it as "Clostridium phytofermentans T-box sequence". It matches the Rfam family "T-box leader". From Rfam's summary of the family: Uncharged tRNA acts as the effector for transcription antitermination of genes in the T-box leader family. The record is from RNAcentral. Lineage: Bacteria; Bacillati; Bacillota; Clostridia; Lachnospirales; Lachnospiraceae.